RNAcentral lists this long non-coding RNA (501 nucleotides) under Anas platyrhynchos platyrhynchos (common mallard). Its description in RNAcentral is "lncRNA (ENSAPLG00000029149.1)". Lineage: Eukaryota; Metazoa; Chordata; Aves; Anseriformes; Anatidae. The record is from RNAcentral.
ACGAAUGUGGAGCUCGUGUAAGACACCAGACAGCAGAGUGUGAGCACAAUACAGCAGAGAAAAGACACAAAAAGACGUUCAUUUCCAAGUACCAGCACUCCAGCGAUGUAUUUCAGCGUAAAGUGUUGUGAACUGAGCUGUUUCAUGAUGCCAUUGUUCUCGGAUUGCCGGAGGAAAAAAAAAGAAAAAAAAAAGGAAGCAGAAUCUGGAAAAAUUAAUUUAAGAACAGCAGCAGCCCAAAGAAGAGCCAAUCUCUACAUCAGUUUGCAUUUAUUUUAUCCUCGCAGCUCUCAGAGACAAUUAGCUCGAAAAGAGCCUUCAGACGAGCUGAUUUUUGAAGGAAAGUGCUCCACGUACCAGCCUCCAGCAGCCCGUGGAAAAAGAACAACCAAGUUGUGUUUAUUUAGCACCUGGCACAACAAAGCUAUCCCUGGGCACUCGACGCCAACAUGUUCUGAAAUGUCUCCAGUCUCAGCACGCUGCAUCCAACGCAUCACGUAA